RNAcentral lists this ribosomal RNA (443 nucleotides) under uncultured bacterium. Its description in RNAcentral is "partial 16S ribosomal RNA". It matches the Rfam family "Bacterial small subunit ribosomal RNA", at positions 338 to 795 of the family's 1533-position model. The record is from RNAcentral.
CCUACGGGUGGCAGCAGUGGGGGAUAUUGGACAAUGGGGGGAACCCUGAUCCAGCGACGCCGCGUGAGUGAAGAAGUAUUUCGGUAUGUAAAGCUCUGUUAGCAGGGAAGAAAGAAAUGACGGUACCUGAUCAAGAAGCCCCGGCUAACGAUGUGCCAGCAGCCGCGGUAAUACGUAGGGGGCAAGCGUUAUCCGGAAUUACUGGGUGUAAAGGGAGCGUAGACGGUUAAUUAAGUCUGGAGUGAAAGGCCGGGGCCCAACCCCGGGACUGCUCUGGAAACUAGUGGACUUGUGUGCAGGAGAGGUAAGCGGAAUUCCUAGUGUAGCGGUGAAAUGCGUAGAUAUUAGGAGGAACACCAGUGGCGAAGGCAGCUUACUGAACUGUAACUGACGUUGAGGCUCGAAAGCGUGGGGAGCAAACAGGAUUAGAUACCCGAGUAGUC